GCCUGCCCACCUUUUGUGUGCUCCAGGUCAUUAAGCUGCUAAACUCGCCACAACUGAGGGCUCCGUGCCCCAGGGAGGAAACCACUGAAGAAGCGUCCCUGCUCCUUCGCACCCCAAACCAUCAAUUAAUAUUAACAAGGGAGAAUGCUCCUCGAUGCCUAAAGACCCCCAACAGGGUACAAAUGGAGCAGGAGCCACGCCCCCCAUGACUCAGGAGGUUAAAGGGCUUGGGUCCAUCUGUGUGCCCAGAGUGUCCGAAUGGCGAGUGGCAACAGGAAGGUCACCAUCCAGCUGGUGGACGACGGGGCCGGGACUGGAGCUGGGGGCCCACAGCUCUUUAAAGGCCAGAACUACGAAGCCAUCCGAAGAGCUUGCCUGGAUUCCGGGAUCCUGUUUCGUGACCCUUGCUUUCCUGCUGGCCCUGAUGCCCUUGGCUAUGACAAGCUGGGACCUGACUCAGAGAAGGCCAAAGGGGUGGAAUGGAAGAGGCCCCAUGAGUUUUGUGCUGAGCCCCAGUUCAUCUGUGAAGACAUGAGCAGAACAGAUGUGUGCCAGGGAAGCUUGGGAAACUGCUGGCUUCUUGCAGCUGCUGCCUCCCUCACACUCUACCCCAGGCUCCUGUACCGGGUGGUCCCCCCUGGACAAGGUUUCCAAGAUGGCUACGCGGGGGUCUUCCAUUUUCAGCUAUGGCAGUUUGGCCGCUGGGUGGAUGUGGUGGUAGACGACAAACUGCCUGUGCGUGAGGGGAAGCUGAUGUUCGUGCGCUCAGAACAAAGGAACGAGUUCUGGGCCCCUCUGCUGGAAAAGGCCUAUGCCAAGCUCCAUGGCUCCUACGAGGUAAUGCGAGGAGGUCACAUGAACGAGGCUUUUGUGGACUUUACAGGAGGCGUGGGUGAGGUCCUCUACUUGAGACAAAACACUCCAGGUGUCUUUGCUGCCCUUCGCCACGCAUUGGCCAAGGAGUCCCUUGUGGGUGCUACUGCCCUGAGUGAUCGGGGUGAGAUCCGCACAGAUGAAGGGCUGGUGAAGGGACAUGCUUAUUCUGUCACAGGCACGCACAAGAUGUCUCUGGGCUUCACCAAGGUGCGGCUGCUGCGGCUGAGGAACCCCUGGGGCCGCGUGGAGUGGUCCGGGCCCUGGAGUGACAGCUGCCCACGCUGGGACAUGCUCCCUUCUGAGUGGCGAGAUGCCCUGCUUGUGAAAAAGGAGGAUGGCGAGUUCUGGAUGGAGCUUCAAGACUUUCUCACGCACUUCAACACAGUGCAGAUUUGUUCACUGAGUCCUGAGGUGUUGGGCCCCAGCCCUGCUGGCGGCGGCUGGCAUAUCCACAUCUUCCAGGGCCGCUGGGUGCGAGGCUUCAACUCCGGUGGGAGUCAGCCCAGCGCUGAAAACUUCUGGACCAACCCCCAGUUCCGGCUGACACUGCUGGAGCCUGAUGAGGAAGAGGAUGACGAUGAUGAAGAGGGACCCUGGGGAGGCUGGGGAGCGGCAGGGGCCCGGGGCCCGGCGAGAGGAGGCCGAGUCCCCAAGUGCACGGUCCUGUUGUCACUCAUCCAGCGCAACCGCCGGUGUCUGAGGGCCAAGGGCCUCACUUACCUCACUGUGGGCUUCCACGUGUUCCAGAUUCCGGAGGAGCUGCUGGACCUCUGGGACUCCCCGCGCAGCCGCGCGCUCUUGCCGGGACUGCUGCGCGCCGACCGCUCGGUUUUCUGCGCCCGCCGCGACGUGAGCCGUCGCUGUCGCCUGCCGCCUGGCCACUACCUGGUGGUACCCAGCGCCUCGCGCGUAGGCGAUGAAGCCGACUUCACUCUGCGCAUCUUCUCGGAGCGCAGCCACACCGCAGUGGAGAUCGAUGACGUGAUCAGCGCAGACCUGGACGCCCUCCAGGCCCCCUACAAGCCCCUGGAGCUGGAGUUGGCACAGCUAUUUUUGGAGCUGGCUGGAGAGGAGGAGGAACUCAACGCGCUUCAGCUGCAGACCUUAAUAAGCAUUGCUCUGGAACCUGCGUGGGCAAAGACUGUCCCUACACCACUUCCAGGAGCUCUGGGGCCAUCUCAUGUCAUGGCAGGCCACAUUUGACAAGUUUGAUGAAGAUGCCUCUGGGACAAUGAACUCCUGUGAACUGAGGCUGGCACUGACUGCUGCAGGCUUCCACCUCAACAACCAGCUGACCCAGUCCCUCACUAGCCGCUACCGGGACAGCCGGCUCCGUGUGGACUUCGAGCGCUUCGUGUGCUGUGCAGCCCGGCUCACCUGCAUCUUCCGCCACUGCUGCCAACACCUGGAUGGCGGCGAGGGGGUCGUCUGCCUGACCCACAAACAGUGGUCGGAGGUGGCUACCUUCUCAUAGGUUUGAAGCUGAGGGAGGUCACCCUGCUGCCCGACUCACUGUCACAAAGGUGGUGGCUAUGUAACCCUGGCCGGCCUCACAAGUGCUGGGAUUACGAGCUGGAGCCAUCCCAAACAGAACUGCCACCCUUCCUUUUGAAGCCUCUUCAUGUCAGUCCCUGCUUAGAGAGGGGCACAACCCCCACACAGGCACUGGGCUGGUGGGCACUGCCAGCUCCUUGGGGCAUGAACAGAGAUGCAGGGAGAAGAUGACACCAGAGUCCUUCUUAAAAAUAUUACAUGUUUUAUUCUCCCAUCCCCAGAGGGUGGUUUAUCCAGAAACCAAGAAAAUAAAAAUCAAUCAGAAUAAACUCAAGGGGGCGAGUGGAGAGAAACCCAUUAACGACCAGGCAGGCAGGCCAGCAGCCUGCCUCCACCUCAGAAGGUCCCCAGAGACCUCUGCCCACCGCCACGAGGGGAAAAUCAGGAGGGACUGGGGAGGGCAUUGAAUCAGCUAUGUCUUCAUUAUGAGAGUGAGAGAGGUGGCAGAGAUAUGCAGCUAGAUGGAUAUAUAUUUAUAUAAUAAAUCCGUAAGUUAAUAAAGUAAAUAGUAAUUCUC
RNA transcript from Mus musculus (house mouse), 2947 nucleotides. It is a transcript of the gene named calpain 12, with no coding region annotated. Lineage: Eukaryota; Metazoa; Chordata; Mammalia; Rodentia; Muridae. The transcript has 20 exons. The record is from RefSeq and is marked validated.